GUUGGGUAGGGGAGCGUUCUGUAAGCCUGCGAAGGUGGCCUGUGAGGGUUGCUGGAGGUAUCAGAAGUGCGAAUGCUGACAUAAGUAACGAUAAAGCGGGUGAAAAGCCCGCUCGCCGGAAGACCAAGGGUUCCUGUCCAACGUUAAUCGGGGCAGGGUGAGUCGACCCCUAAGGCGAGGCCGAAAGGCGUAGUCGAUGGGAAACGGGUUAAUAUUCCCGUACUUGGUGUUACUGCGAAGGGGGGACGGAGAAGGCUAUGUUGGCCGGGCGACGGUUGUCCCGGUUUAAGCGUGUAGGUGUGUGUUCCAGGUAAAUCCGGUUCACUUUAACACUGAGGCGUGACGACGAGGCACUACGGUGCUGAAGCAACAAAUGCCCUGCUUCCAGGAAAAGCCUCUAAGCAUCAGGUAACAUCAAAUCGUACCCCAAACCGACACAGGUGGUCAGGUAGAGAAUACCAAGGCGCUUGAGAGAACUCGGGUGAAGGAACUAGGCAAAAUGGUGCCGUAACUUCGGGAGAAGGCACGCUGACACGUAGGUGAAGUGAUUUACUCAUGGAGCUGAAGUCAGUCGAAGAUACCAGCUGGCUGCAACUGUUUAUUAAAAACACAGCACUGUGCAAACACGAAAGUGGACGUAUACGGUGUGACGCCUGCCCGGUGCCGGAAGGUUAAUUGAUGGGGUCAGCGCAAGCGAAGCUCCUGAUCGAAGCCCCGGUAAACGGCGGCCGUAACUAUAACGGUCCUAAGGUAGCGAAAUUCCUUGUCGGGUAAGUUCCGACCUGCACGAAUGGCGUAAUGAUGGCCAGGCUGUCUCCACCCGAGACUCAGUGAAAUUGAACUCGCUGUGAAGAUGCAGUGUACCCGCGGCAAGACGGAAAGACCCCGUGAACCUUUACUAUAGCUUGACACUGAACAUUGAGCCUUGAUGUGUAGGAUAGGUGGGAGGCUUUGAAGUGUGGACGCCAGUCUGCAUGGAGCCGACCUUGAAAUACCACCCUUUAAUGUUUGAUGUUCUAACGUGGACCCGUUACCCGGGUUGCGGACAGUGUCUGGUGGGUAGUUUGACUGGGGCGGUCUCCUCCUAAAGAGUAACGGAGGAGCACGAAGGUUGGCUAAUCCUGGUCGGACAUCAGGAGGUUAGUGCAAUGGCAUAAGCCAGCUUGACUGCGAGCGUGACGGCGCGAGCAGGUGCGAAAGCAGGUCAUAGUGAUCCGGUGGUUCUGAAUGGAAGGGCCAUCGCUCAACGGAUAAAAGGUACUCCGGGGAUAACAGGCUGAUACCGCCCAAGAGUUCAUAUCGACGGCGGUGUUUGGCACCUCGAUGUCGGCUCAUCACAUCCUGGGGCUGAAGUAGGUCCCAAGGGUAUGGCUGUUCGCCAUUUAAAGUGGUACGCGAGCUGGGUUUAGAACGUCGUGAGACAGUUCGGUCCCUAUCUGCCGUGGGCGCUGGAGAACUGAGGGGGGCUGCUCCUAGUACGAGAGGACCGGAGUGGACGCAUCACUGGUGUUCGGGUUGUCAUGCCAAUGGCACUGCCCGGUAGCUAAAUGCGGAAGAGAUAAGUGCUGAAAGCAUCUAAGCACGAAACUUGCCCCGAG
This 1598-nucleotide ribosomal RNA is filed under the name Salmonella enterica. RNAcentral's name for it is "partial 23S ribosomal RNA". It matches the Rfam family "Bacterial large subunit ribosomal RNA", at positions 1223 to 2803 of the family's 2925-position model. RNAcentral also lists the same sequence under 1 other name. The record is from RNAcentral. Lineage: Bacteria; Pseudomonadati; Pseudomonadota; Gammaproteobacteria; Enterobacterales; Enterobacteriaceae.